AUAAUUAUCUGCUGUAAGAAUUGGACUUGCUAGAUCACCAACCCCAUCACGGACAAAUCUCUCAUUCCAUUUUCUAGAGAACCUUGGCUAACUGUUUGGUGGUUUCAAGUGUUUGAAACUAUAGGUUUCUAAAUUUGCAUGACAGACUUUAAGUAAAGUCAUGUUGAAGAAAAAGGACUGACUGACAGUCAACAAUGUACACUACCUAGUUUGGUAACCUGUUGGCUGCUUACCUUGAAUCUCCCUUUUUACUUUCUUAAGCUUGAUUUGAGGGUAACUCCUUCACUACUUAUCAUGGACUUCAUUCAUUGGUGAUGCUAUAAUUCAAGAGAAUGCUGUCAUUCAAGACUGAAAAAUUGUGUAGUUGUUAGAUAAAACAAGAACAAGUGCAUGUCUGGGCUCCCUUCUUUCUUUGGCCCCAUUUCCCU
Molecule: long non-coding RNA, 428 nt
Organism: Daphnia pulicaria
Lineage: Eukaryota; Metazoa; Arthropoda; Branchiopoda; Diplostraca; Daphniidae
Exons: 3
Source: RefSeq, a predicted model, not a curated record